GCUCAAGAUCAGCUCCAGAUCACAGUGUAUGGAUGGUACAAUCACCGUCUGUGGAUGUUAGGAUGGUCCUGAUUUCCUCUGGUAUCGUAUCCCUGUGCCAAUAAUCCAUGUGGUGUAUUCCAGAUGAUGCUCCAGUGAUAUAUAUGGGAUAUAAAAGAACAGGAAUAGUGUUCUCGGUAUUAAUAAAACAAAUAAAAUACAGAGAGAAAUAUA
Molecule: non-coding RNA, 213 nt
Organism: Pelobates cultripes (western spadefoot toad)
Lineage: Eukaryota; Metazoa; Chordata; Amphibia; Anura; Pelobatidae
Source: the annotation of a GenBank genome assembly